Molecule: ribosomal RNA, 254 nt
Filed under: uncultured bacterium
Lineage: Bacteria
Description: partial 16S ribosomal RNA
Rfam family: Bacterial small subunit ribosomal RNA
Source: RNAcentral
UACGGAGGGUGCGAAGCGUUAUCCGGAAUUAUUGGGCGUAAAGAGCUCGUAGGCGGUUUGUCGCGUCUGCUGUGAAAACUGGAGGCUCAACCUCCAGCCUGCAGUGGGUACGGGCAAACUAGAGUGCGGUAGGGGAGAUUGGAAUUCCUGGUGUAGCGGUGGAAUGCGCAGAUAUCAGGAGGAACACCGGUGGCGAAGGCGGAUCUCUGGGCCUUACCUGACGCUGAGGCGCGAAAGCUAGGGGAGCGAACAGG